AUUGAACGCUGGCGGCAUGCCUUACACAUGCAAGUCGAACGGUAACGCGGGGCAACCUGGCGACGAGUGGCGAACGGGUGAGUAAUGCGUCGGAACGUGCCCAGUAGUGGGGGAUAGCCCGGCGAAAGCCGGAUUAAUACCGCAUACGACCUGAGGGUGAAAGGGGGGGAUCGCAAGACCUCUCGCUAUUGGAGCGGCCGAUGUCAGAUUAGGUAGUUGGUGGGGUAAAGGCCUACCAAGCCGACGAUCUGUAGCUGGUCUGAGAGGACGACCAGCCACACUGGGACUGAGACACGGCCCAGACUCCUACGGGAGGCAGCAGUGGGGAAUUUUGGACAAUGGGCGCAAGCCUGAUCCAGCCAUGCCGCGUGCGGGAAGAAGGCC
Molecule: ribosomal RNA, 384 nt
Filed under: uncultured bacterium
Lineage: Bacteria
Description: bacterial SSU rRNA
Rfam family: Bacterial small subunit ribosomal RNA
Source: RNAcentral